GGAAAUGCGUACGGAGAGAGUGGUAGUCGUUGACCAUUUUGGAGAGUAGCUGCUUUAGCCUCUCAUUCUCUUCUUUCACGCUCCCCAUCUCCGCUUCCGCCAAUCUGAUCAUCUCCUCCUCCAUACCCUCCUCAUCGGCCUGCAGUGUAGAGAGCACUAUUUUUCGUUACAAAAAAAAAAAUUCUAAAAAAACGGUAAAUAAUCGCGGGGUUGCUAAGUUUCAGCCUGUAUACUUAUUUAAGCAGAUCAGAGUUUCGGAACUCACCUGGAUGAUGAUGGUGUUUCGUCUUGAUCGGUCGUCCUGCAGGAAAUGGAGGGUCUCUAGCUCAUGGGUUUCAGAGGAAGAUGAGUUUUUCUUGGGGGAAUCCAUUGUUAUGGAUAUAGAGAGAGAGAGAGAAGAGAGAGAUGGGGUUUGUUUGUUUGUUG
This 426-nucleotide long non-coding RNA is filed under the name Linum usitatissimum (flax). RNAcentral describes it as "long non-coding RNA (LUSI_LNC002105)". Lineage: Eukaryota; Viridiplantae; Streptophyta; Magnoliopsida; Malpighiales; Linaceae. The record is from RNAcentral.